AACGAACGCUGGCGGCAUGCCUAACACAUGCAAGUCGAACGAGACCUUCGGGUCUAGUGGCGCACGGGUGCGUAACGCGUGGGAACCUGCCCUUAGGUUCGGAAUAACUCCCCGAAAGGGGUGCUAAUACCGGAUAAUGUCUUCGGACCAAAGAUUUAUCGCCUUUGGAUGGGCCCGCGUUGGAUUAGCUAGUUGGUAGGGUAAAAGCCUACCAAGGCUACGAUCCAUAGCUGGUCUGAGAGGAUGAUCAGCCACACUGGGACUGAGACACGGCCCAGACUACUACGGGAGGCAGCAGUGGGGAAUAUUGGACAAUGGGCGAAAGCCUGAUCCAGCAAUGCCGCGUGAGUGAUGAAGGCCUUAGGGUUGUAAAGCUCUUUUACCCGGGAUGAUAAUGACAGUACCGGGAGAAUAAGCUCCGGCUAACUCCGUG
RNAcentral lists this ribosomal RNA (433 nucleotides) under uncultured bacterium. Its description in RNAcentral is "partial 16S ribosomal RNA". It matches the Rfam family "Bacterial small subunit ribosomal RNA", at positions 29 to 507 of the family's 1533-position model. The record is from RNAcentral.